UGCCAUUAACUCUUAGGUGCAUUUGGUAGUGACAUGGGCUUUCCAAACGUAGUCCAAGAUCCUGAAUGUUGCGUAGAAGGUUGCGUUUAUGAACUAUCGUCAGAAUAUCUACCGCUUUUGGAUAUAUGUAUUGCUUCUUCAAAGCAAUACAAGAGAUUGGAUGUGUGAAAAUCCUGCUCGAUUUGAGCAUGGUAUAAUGUCAACAAUGUGUUGCUGCAGUUGUUUAUGUUGCUCAAGAAAAAUAUAUCUCGCCAGAUUCUGUGCAACUGGAUACUUCAUUUACCUUGAAGUAGUACUUUAUAAGAACUGAUUUACUUACUCCAAACUAAGUUGAAUAUUUAAAAAGUUUCAGUAUAAAUCACGCUUUCGCCCUUUGAGAAUACUUUUUAAGUAACCAACAUGAGCGCAAGUCAACGCGUAAUGCUGUUCAUCUUACAGCAGAACAAAGUCAACGCGCCAUAAAUUGAUAUAUUGGGCUCAUCCUCUCGACUUACCAUAACAUUGUUGGAUAGCUGUUGGAUUUCUAUUUUCUUACGUUGGUCAACAUAACGUAAUUCAAUGUAAUCAGAAGCUUUCCAUUCAAAUUUAUUAUCGAUUUCUUGCUUUAAAA
Molecule: long non-coding RNA, 610 nt
Organism: Xenia sp. Carnegie-2017
Lineage: Eukaryota; Metazoa; Cnidaria; Anthozoa; Malacalcyonacea; Xeniidae
Exons: 3
Source: RefSeq, a predicted model, not a curated record